UACGAAGGGUGCAAGCGUUACUCGGAAUUAUUGGGCGUAAAGCGUCUGUAGGUGGCUUUUUAAGUCUGCCGUCAAAUCCCAGGGCUUAACCCUGGACAGGCGGUGGAAACUACCAAGCUGGAGUACGGUAGGGGCAGGGGGAAUUUCCGGUGGAGCGGUGAAAUGCGUAGAGAUCGGAAAGAACACCAACGGCGAAAGCACUCUGCUGGGCCGACACUGACACUGAGAGACGAAAGCUAGGGGAGCGAAUGGG
RNAcentral lists this ribosomal RNA (253 nucleotides) under uncultured bacterium. RNAcentral's name for it is "partial 16S ribosomal RNA". It matches the Rfam family "Bacterial small subunit ribosomal RNA", at positions 524 to 776 of the family's 1533-position model. The record is from RNAcentral.